AUGCACACAGAGACCUACAGCGCCGCCCGCAAGCUUUCGGAAAGCUUACCAACAUCAGCUGACCCGCUCUCCUCCAAUCUCGUAUCGGGGACGGGGCUCAACGCCCCGUCUCCACAGCAACGCCUUUGUCUCAGCCCAGGGCUUGGGUACCGUGGGAGGCGCGUUCGGAUGACGUCAUGUACCCCCGGCGCUUGCAUGACAUCAGCUCCAGCGCAGAAGAGGGCUCAGCCUGCCCGCAGGUAUGAAAACGAGCAAGACCUCGGACACUGCGCAUGUGUUAUUUCAGGAGACCAUCUGAGUGCCCACCCCAUGACUGACUCCAUAAGCAUGAGAUGACUUCAUCCUCAAAUCCUGAAGGAACCCUGCCCAUCUUGGAAGAUGUAGCUGGUGUUUCAUGGCUGAGAAGGCUUCCCACUUGUGGCACAAGGGGUUUCUCCCUCGUGGUCCAGGCAGCUCAUUCCUAAGACCUUAGCUCCCCAACUCUGCUGGGGAGUCUUUCAAUUCUCCUCACCCUCUGUGACAACCUGUAAAAAGCGGCAGGGCUGGGCUCACAGGGUUUUAUUUACUGCUAACAAUAAAAUUGAUGCUUUUGAACUGUGGUGUUGGAGA
RNAcentral lists this long non-coding RNA (609 nucleotides) under Bos indicus x Bos taurus (hybrid cattle). RNAcentral's name for it is "lncRNA (ENSBIXG00005018829.1)". Lineage: Eukaryota; Metazoa; Chordata; Mammalia; Artiodactyla; Bovidae. The record is from RNAcentral.